Caenorhabditis elegans is the source of this 21-nucleotide non-coding RNA. The record is from Ensembl. Lineage: Eukaryota; Metazoa; Nematoda; Chromadorea; Rhabditida; Rhabditidae.
UUCUCUGAGUCGGUGAAAAAA